CCCAAGAAAGUGCUGAAUCCCACGGUGGGGCAGAGGCCGAAAAAAGGGUGUUCUCGUUCGCAAAGGGGUACAUCAAGGGAUAGGGUUAGGGAUGAGAGAAGAGAAGGGCGGUGGCGGGGUGAGAUCCGAAUGACGCAACACUGACGUCACGGCGCAAGCUCCGCUGCCAACCUUCCCGCCGGCGAAGCGCUGUAUUUCAGACGCUGGUGCUCAAAUCUUAAUCAGGCGAUUUCAUCUCUUCCCAUUGUAUUUGUUGCAUUUUAAUUGCUUGUUUUUCUCAGGAAGCUGCGAUCACGGAUAUGAGGCGAAGACGAAAUGAAGUGUGGAAGAGGACGCCGAUGAAAAAAUCCUACUCGAAGAUUGUCCAAGGAACCAAGAAAGGCACGGCUUUUUACAAACAACAUUUCUGAUGUUUUUUCUCGCUUUCAUCUAUCUUUAGACUUACAUGUUGGCCUCAUAUAACGAAUGGACAUAUGUUAGUUCAAAGAAACAGAAGGUAU
This is a long non-coding RNA of Stegodyphus dumicola, 500 nucleotides long. NCBI's taxonomy places the organism in Eukaryota, Metazoa, Arthropoda, Arachnida, Araneae, Eresidae. The record is from RefSeq and is a predicted model, not a curated record.